CCGUUACCGUGAGGAGCGGCCUAGGGUGAAAGCGGUGACUGGGGCUAAGUCGUAACAAGGUAGCCGUACCGGAAGGUGCGGCUGGAACACCUCCUUUUUGGAGC
This 104-nucleotide ribosomal RNA is filed under the name Bacteroidales bacterium. RNAcentral's name for it is "partial 16S ribosomal RNA". It matches the Rfam family "Bacterial small subunit ribosomal RNA", at positions 1428 to 1533 of the family's 1533-position model. Lineage: Bacteria; Pseudomonadati; Bacteroidota; Bacteroidia; Bacteroidales. The record is from RNAcentral.